This 254-nucleotide ribosomal RNA is filed under the name uncultured bacterium. RNAcentral's name for it is "partial 16S ribosomal RNA". It matches the Rfam family "Bacterial small subunit ribosomal RNA", at positions 524 to 776 of the family's 1533-position model. The record is from RNAcentral.
UACGUAGGGGGCAAGCGUUGUCCGGAUUUAUUGGGCGUAAAGAGCGUGUAGGCGGUUUGGUAGGUCCGCUGUGAAAACUCGAGGCUCAACCUCGAGACGCCGGUGGAAACCAUCAGACUAGAGUCCGGAAGAGGAGAGUGGAAUUCCUGGUGUAGCGGUGAAAUGCGCAGAUAUCAGGAGGAACACCGAUGGCGAAGGCAGGUCUCUGGGCCGAUACUGACGCUGAGGAGCGAAAGCGUGGGGGAGCGAACAGG